UACAUAGGGGGCAAGCGUUGUCCGGAUUUAUUGGGCGUAAAGAGCGUGUAGGCGGCCAGGUAGGUCCGUUGUGAAAACUCGAGGCUCAACCUCGAGACGUCGGCGGAAACCCUCUGGCUAGAGUCCGGAAGAGGAGAGUGGAAUUCCUGGUGUAGCGGUGAAAUGCGCAGAUAUCAGGAAGAACACCCGUGGCGAAGGCGGCUCUCUGGGACGGUACUGACGCUGAGACGCGAAAGCGUGGGGAGCAAACAGG
This 253-nucleotide ribosomal RNA is filed under the name uncultured bacterium. RNAcentral's name for it is "partial 16S ribosomal RNA". It matches the Rfam family "Bacterial small subunit ribosomal RNA", at positions 524 to 776 of the family's 1533-position model. The record is from RNAcentral.